GUGAAUUCAUCUUCCAGCACACUUCCCAUCUUCUCUCCUCAUCUCCUUCACUGCCGCCUCUUUCUCUUCCUCCUCCUCCGCCGUCGCCGCCCUUCAUCUCGUCUCCUCCGCCGCCGCCUUCUUCCAAGGGUGUUGUUGUUUCCGCACUGGAGGUAAGACGACAACGUCGGACUCCGAUGUUGGCAACAACAUAACAGCAUCGAAGGUGGAUCCAGCAAAGGCUGGGAAACUCGAAACUUUAUCCUAUAGAAGUUUAAUUGAUGGAAACUUUGUGUUUAAUUAAUGAAGUAAUACCCAUCUGCGUGAAUUUCUUGACAUGAUCUGAGAAAAACUGUGAGUAAAAAAGAUGAGUUUUUUCAAUUUGUUUCUCACUCUUGUUGUGCUUCUCUCUGCAAAUGGUGAAUCCAGUAGUAAAGGUGAAACCUUUAUUGUUUCCAGCUUCAGCUACCCUCAUACUAGACUUACACCCUUUAAUUUACGCUAUAUAAGAGGUUUGUGUCCUAAUUUACAGUGACCCUUUUGUUUUUUACUCAUUUAUUGUUGUUGUUUAUGAAGAAGCUUGAUUUUAGUGUUAAUUUUGGUUAGUUGGAAUUGGAUUUGAUCUUACUUGCUUCAUCUUCAAAGUCUAGGAGGUUUGCAUAAUUGGUAAGUUUUUGUUUAGGGAAAAUCGAAGAGACUGGUUAUUGGAAUAAUGAAUCUUGUGUUUAAUGUUAAUUAUGCUUUUAAAGGAGUUUAUGAUAUGGAAGGGAGAUGGAUCUGAUGGGUAGAAGAAUGACAGUGGUGGUGGUGGUUUGAAGAACUAUGGUGAUGGAAAAAACGGGAAGAAGAAUUAUGAGAAGGAACUUUCAGUGUGAUGAUUUUUCUGGGUUUGGAUGAAUUUUGUAGGUGUUGAAGCGUU
Molecule: long non-coding RNA, 898 nt
Filed under: Medicago truncatula (barrel medic)
Lineage: Eukaryota; Viridiplantae; Streptophyta; Magnoliopsida; Fabales; Fabaceae
Description: long non-coding RNA (MTRU_LNC008606)
Source: RNAcentral